Molecule: unclassified non-coding RNA, 354 nt
Filed under: soil metagenome
Description: partial contains 5.8S ribosomal RNA, internal transcribed spacer 2, and large subunit ribosomal RNA
Rfam family: 5.8S ribosomal RNA (bases 1-120)
Source: RNAcentral
GAUGAAGAACGCAGCGAAACGCGAUAUGUAAUGUGAAUUGCAGAAUUCAGUGAAUCAUCGAAUCUUUGAACGCACAUGGCGCCUUCCAGUAUCCUGGGAGGCAUGCCUGUCCGAGCGUCGUUUCAACCCUCGAGCCCCCGUGGCCCGGCGUUGGGGAUCUGCCCAGGCAGUCCCCGAAAACCAGUGGCGGACCCGUUACAGGCCCUUCCCUUGCGUAGUAGCAUUCGCCUCGCAUCGGGAGCCGGCGGGCUUCCAGCCUCUAAACCCCCAUCAAGUCCGCCCCGGCGGCACCAAGGUUGAACUCGGAUCAGGUAGGAAUACCCGCUGAACUUAAGCAUAUCAAUAAGCGGAGGA